ACACAUUAUCCGCAGCUCAUCCCAAAGACACAACAGGCAGAGGUUGAAAUGUCUCAAGAAUGGGAAGAAUUAAGAGAGAUAUAUGAAAAAAGGGAAACAUGGUGUGCUGUGGAACCAGAUGGCAAGCAGUACUGGACCAGAGCCGAGUUGAGGCACUACCCUCAGAAAGACACAAAUCCUUUGAUUUAUCAGUGGCCACCGUAUUCAAGAAUGUCAUGGGCAAGCCAAACUCCAAAACACAGGGAGAAAAGACACUUUUCUAAUGCAGGUAAGUGUACAUUGCACCCCAUGCUCUUGUUUACCGGUCAGACUUUGAAAGUUCAUGAAUG
Pelobates cultripes (western spadefoot toad) is the source of this 329-nucleotide non-coding RNA. The record is from the annotation of a GenBank genome assembly. NCBI's taxonomy places the organism in Eukaryota, Metazoa, Chordata, Amphibia, Anura, Pelobatidae.